GACGAACGCUGGCGGCGUGCUUAACACAUGCAAGUCGAACGGAAAGGCCCUGCUUUUGUGGGGUGCUCGAGUGGCGAACGGGUGAGUAACACGUGAGUAACCUGCCCUUGACUUUGGGAUAACUUCAGGAAACUGGGGCUAAUACCGGAUAGGAGCUCCUGCUGCAUGGUGGGGGUUGGAAAGUUUCGGCGGUUGGGGAUGGACUCGCGGCUUAUCAGCUUGUUGGUGGGGUAGUGGCUUACCAAGGCUUUGACGUGUAGCCGGCCUGAGAGGGUGACCGGCCACAUUGGGACUGAGAUACGGCCCAGACUCCUACGGGAGGCAGCAGUGGGGAAUAUUGCACAAUGGGCGGAAGCCUGAUGCAGCAACGCCGCGUGCGGGAUGACGGCCUUCGGGUUGUAAACCGCUUUCGCCUGUGACGAAGCGUGAGUGACGGUAAUGGGUAAAGAAGCACCGGCGAACUACGU
RNAcentral lists this ribosomal RNA (467 nucleotides) under uncultured bacterium. RNAcentral describes it as "partial 16S ribosomal RNA". It matches the Rfam family "Bacterial small subunit ribosomal RNA", at positions 28 to 506 of the family's 1533-position model. The record is from RNAcentral.